This is a long non-coding RNA of Sarcophilus harrisii (Tasmanian devil), 7218 nucleotides long. Lineage: Eukaryota; Metazoa; Chordata; Mammalia; Dasyuromorphia; Dasyuridae. The record is from Ensembl.
AUGAGCCACAGGGAAGUCAAGCCAAGCUCCAGAGGCAUCAGAGCUGGGUCUGAGCUGCUACCCUGUACUGUCCAUUGGAGUGAUCCACAGAAAAGUCAAGCCAAGCUCCCAAGGCAUGAGAGCAGGGCCUGGGCAGCUGUCCUGUACUGCCUAUUGACUAUCUGGGACUAAUGACAGAUGAACAAAGUCCAUUAUGAGUCUGGGAAAGAGGACCUAGAGUCACAGAUGCCAGAUCACUGGAAUCAAACCGGCAAAAGGUUCAACAAUCCAUCCUUCAUAGGAUCUAGUCUCUCAGUGCUGGCCCUUCUCAGGCUGGACGUGACAGGCGGCAGCUGAUUGAGCCAAAUGAGGCCCAGGGAGAAGUGGGAAGAGACCUGUUCGCUGAUCUGCAGCCUGGCCUCAUGCCGGGGAGGGUGGAGCUGACAGCCCUUUCUGCCAGCUGUCUCUGCACUGCCUCCAGGAGACCAGCAGCUUUUUCCAGCUGGGUUCUACAGAAGCAGAAACCAAACUUGCCGAGCAAACUCGGAGCUGCUCUUCAACAUGGACCUAUAGUCUCUUCGAGCUUAUUUUACAGAUGAAGAAUUGAGACAAAGGGGAUUAAGUGACUUGCCUGAGGUCACAUGUCUAUGGCCAGAUUUGAAUUCCAGAAGAUGAGUUUUACUGAUUCCAAGCCCAGUGCUUUAUCCACUACCCCACUGAACUGGACUUCUUCACUUUUAGAAUAACACUCAUAAAAGGGAUGAUGCAUCAUUUAAAAGCAGGCAAUGUGGAAAAUUUUUGCCCAGACCAAACUCAUAGAAAUCCAGUCUUGCCCAUGUGAUCCUGGACACAUUCUCCUGUCCCUGGGCCUUAGUUUCUUGCUCUUAUAAAAUAGGAAGUCUUGAUUCUUUGACCUCUAAAACCUCUUACAAUUCUCAAUUCUGGGAUUUCUUUCUAAGCAAAGGAUGUAAGAACUUCUUAAUUAUCUGAGGGUUCAAAGGAGAUGACUCCAAUUCUUUCUCCAUUUGUACUUCAGGAAAAAUUCCCUUAUUUAUUCAUGUAAAUGAAGGAGUGCCACAAGAUACCAAGGGAAUAAGCCAUUGGGAUAAGAACUGAGAAAAGAGAGACUGGGCAAUGUUGUGGAAAUAAAGAGAAUGGAACUUGAGGUCAGCAGAAAGCUGGUUCAAAUCCAACUUUGGACAUUGGCUCAUAUAUGUGAUGAUGGCCAAGACGCUUGCCCUCUCUGAGAUAUGAUCUCUACAUUUGCAAGUUGCAUUGAAGAUGCUGAGCCCCUGUGGGAGAAAAAUAAUACAAUAGGGCUGUCCAGCCUUAUCUUCUUCUUCCUCAUUCCCGUUAAGUCAUUUGCUGUAACAUGUAAUAAAAAUUUUACCCAGCAGGUGGGGAUAAUUACCUACAGCUCAUAUUUUUAGAUAAUAAUAGUCUUUCAAAUGAUUCUUUCAUUAGACACAGGGCAAGACUUUUUUUUUUUAAACCAGUGUUUCUUUUAACUCUUGUGUGUGGUAGAUGAUAGAAAUGCUUUGGAAUGCUAGCAUUUCCAAGCCUUUAACUGCUAUGGGGUAUUUAAUUUAUAGCAACUCCCCAAGAAGUUUCUAAGGACCCAGCCGUAUCUGAUUCUGCAGAGAAUGGUUUGGUCUAGUGAUGACAAGAUCCACAUUUUCAUUGUUAAUAUCCUUUGCCUUGGAAGAGCCUGGAUUUUUCCCCAUUUCCUUCAGCAUCCAGAAGUAAUGAUGUCAGUAUAAGUAGGAAGAACUUCAAACUUCCAGUAACUCCCACAACUCUACCUAAUGCAAUCAAUCAGAAAUAUCAAAAAAAUACUUAUUAUGUGCUGGGGUUUGUGUUGGGCCUGGAAGAUACAGUCCAAUCUCUGCCUUCCUCAAGCUUACCUUCUACUCCUUUUGCUCCAGAUUUAGCUUAAAUCAAUUAUGCAAACAUUUAAGAAGCCUUAAGUCUGUGUCUGUACAGAAUUGCUUCCUCUGGAUUCAUUCUGUCAAUUGUGUUGUUUUGGCAGUCAGAUUAUUAACUAAAAUUUAUCAUCCAAAUAUUUUGACAGUGCUUAGGCCCAGGUUGUACCAGAAUAGAACUGUAUUGUGAUGGACUUUUAGUUGGUUGUUUUCUGAGGCCCAGCAUUUCUUUUCAAGUUAUCUAAUGGUUUCUUGUAUUAAAAAAUGUAUCAUGAAUCAGAACAUUUUCUACUGUGCUCCUCUAUAUUACUUAACAGAAAUCCUUGCCAAAAAAAUUUUAAGGACCUUAAAAUACAUUCCUUUCUUCUGAAAUAGGACACCUUUGUGCUGUAGACCCCUUUGACAGUCUGAUGAAGCCUAGGAUGAAACCCUUUUCCAUAAUAAUGCAUUUCAAUGCAUGUUGUUUUUAUGCUUGGUCAUUUCAAUUAUGUUCAACUCUUUGUGACUUCACUGGGGUUUUCUAGGAAAAGAUAGUGGAAUCAUUUGUCAUUUCCUUCUCCAGCUGAUUUGACAGAUGAGGAAACUGAGGCAGAUUAAAGUGACUUGUUCAGGCAAGCAGGGCAAAGUGAUGCAGCUAUCUGAAGCUUGCCUUGAACUCAGGAAAAUGAUUCUUCCUGAUUCGAGGUCCAGCACUGUAUUCACUGAAUUAUGUAACUAUUUCAUUUAAAAUGCCUACAUUAUAUUAAUUUAUUGUAUUAAUCUCUCCAUUUUGCAUCUGCAACUCUUGUCUGAUUUCAGCCUCUCUCAAGAUAAGCUAAUUUCUUCUAAUUUCAUCACCAGGCUGGAACUUAAACCUUGGAUUCCACCUCUAAUUAGAGGGCAAGAGGAUAGAGGACUAACUGAUCAAAAAGCUUUCCUUUAUGGAAGGCAGAAUUUAAACUUCCAGGACAAUUCAUUCUGCAUGUGCAACUCUGCAUGAUUUCAACUCCAUGGAACAAGAUAUCCCACAGUGUCAGAGUCAGGGAGGGAAAGGAGGGAAUGGCCAUCUUUCUUUUCUCAUUUGUAGCCCCAACAUGUAGCCCAGUAUCUCACACACAAAAGGUGCUUAGUAAAUGUUUACUGAAUUGAACUGAAUUGAAUGCAUAACAUAAAAUACAUAGUUACAAAAGAAUCCAACUAUACUGAAAUAUUAUAAAAAAUUUUUUUUUCAAAAACAAGGUUAUGGAUUUCAGAUUAUGAUACCUUGAGACCCAUUUAACAAAAUAAUUUUUCUUUUCCCUGUCUUUCACUAUACCAGAAGAAUUGGUCUAUUUAUAUAUUUUUUACACCAAAUCAUAGAAUCUCAGAACCAAAUGUUCCAGGAGCCUUACAAUCCAAUUUGUACCCAAAAAGAAUCUUCAUCCAACAUUAUUAACCAAUGGUUAUUGGAAAGGAAUACAUCUUUCAUGCCAUUUUGGGACAACUCAAAUGUCUAGGAAGUUCUUCAUGACAUCAAAUUUAAAAUUGCCUCAACAUCCACACAUUGUUCCUUGUGCUACCCUCUGGAGCCAAACAGGAUAAAUCUGUUCUUGUCCCACAUGAUAUUAUUUUCAUAAGACAACUUAUUUGUCCCUUCUGAGACUUCUUUUUUUCCCAGGCAAAAGAUUCUUUCAACAACUGUAGCAUAUUUCUUCAUGAACCCAAGGUCCUCAAGAUACUUUUCUAUUUUACAUUCCAGAAGAAUCUUCAAGGACAGGGCCACCAUGAGCCAUCUCUUCCAUUUUCUCCUGGUUAAAGUUUGUGGCCUCAUUCCAAUCCCCUAGUUCCAGGGAGGUAGAGCAGAUCCUGUCUGGUUCCUAUACAGACCUUAAGAAGGUCAAGCUCUAAUCCUUCAGCACUUUCUCUGUUCUUACAAAAUUGCUCAGUAAGCUUUUGUCAAAGACUUCCAGAUUCCCACUCUGGUUUCUGGUUAUGAAUUUGGGACUGUAAUUCAUCAAAUGAUCUGUCCAUUUUUCAAUCACCAAUUGCCAAAUGGCAUGAGCUUCUGCAAUUCUAAAUCCUUUCCUGUUCUUUCACAUCUGGGAAAAUAAAGCCUGGAAGUACACUAAUUCAACAGAGAGAACGUGUUAUAGGGUAAAGAUCGAUAGGCUAGACAUCAAGAGGGUCCAGUUUUGAAACCUGGCUCUGUUACUGGCCACCUGUGUGACUGUGAGCAAGUCGUUUACUUGACUAGAAUAGUUUCUUCCAUAAAAUGGGGAUAAAACACCUCAGAGUUCCCACUUACAGGGCAGCUGCCAGGAAAAUGCUAUGUAAACUUUUAAACCCUAAGGAAAUUGGAGGAGAUAGCCUGUGUAAGUUCAACUACUCAUCAGUGGUGCUCAGAUCUAAGGUUCACAUCUUUCCUCUCAAAAUACAUCACAUUUGAAGUAGUCAAAAGGCAUUCUAUAUGGGGAAUGAAUAUAAUGUAGAAAGAUGAUUUCCCCUGAAUAAUUUUCUAAGAAAGUCACAACUUUCCGAAAGCAUAAAAGGAGGAUUUUAAUUUCUUGCCAUUGACUACUUGAUGAUACUGUGAGAAUUAGUGAGCUAGAAAGCAGCUGUCACAAUAAAAAUACAGGAAUAUAUAGUUUUCACAGCUAUGACAGUGAAGAACCAAAUAGUAGAGGUAAUAAACAAAGGAAAAUAAUUUCUUAUUACAUGAAGCUUUAAAUCAUCUGUACUAACAAAAUCAAUGCAGCAAGAAUAAGAACAGAAAGCAUUGAUUUGUAAGAAACAAAAAUUGAUCUUAACAUUUUUGCUAACAAUAUGAUCUCAAAGAAACAUAAAGAAUUAAUAGAAAUAUAAAACAUCCCCAAAGUCUUAGUGUAGUUUAGCCCUUUUAUCAUAUCAUCAAUUAUUCCAGCCCAGCCCCAGCUUUGAAUCAUUCCUAUCAUUCACACCUGUAAAUGCACUGCUAAAGAAGGUGGGGAAAAAUCAUACAAUCACUCUGCUUGUCCAUCACAAAUUUAUAUUACAUAACCUCGACUAGGCCCUCACUGCUUUGGGCAAUUGUACUAAGCUUUCCUUAUCAAAUCACUAUCCCACUUUCCACCUUGUUAUUUCUAAAUCUUAUCUUUCCUCAAACCUUCUAGAACUCUCCUUUCCCUCACAUUCUAGGAUGAGAACUUUGUUUCAUAUUUUACAGAAAAAAAAAAUUGAGUCUAUUUACCCUGAACUCCCUCUUUUCCCUGUUUCCUUUACUCCUAUUAUUCAGAUACCUUCUGUCCCUCUGUUGUACUUCAACCAUCUCAUAUAAUAAAGUGGCCUACCACUUUACCCUAUUUGUUCAAAUGAUCCCAUCUAUCUGCUUCUUCUAACACUGCCUCUGUCAGUCCCAUUCACUUAAAAAAAAUCACUCUCUACAGACUCCUUCCCUACUCUCUGUAAAUUAUGCCUAUGUUUUUCCUAUCCAGAAAAACCCUCAUUUGAUCCUUCCAUCACUGCUAUCAUCCCAUUUAUCUUUUGCCUUUUAUAACUCAACUUCUCAAAAAGGCUGUCUACAAUAGGUGCCUCUACUUUCUCUCCUCUCACUCUCUUCUUAACUCCUUACAAUCAGGCUUCAAACCAUAUCAUCCACUGAAAUCACUCUCUCCUAAGUAAUCAGUUAUCUGAUUGAUUAUUGAUGAUUGAUCAAAUCAAUAACUUUUUAUUAAUCUUGAUUCUCCUUAACACUACUGAUCAGCAUAAGUUUUAGGGACAUCACUCUCUCCUAGUUUUCCUCCUACCUACUUGUCUGCCUGCUACUUCUCUAUCUCCAUCCUCCUCCAGAUCAUGCCUUCUAAUGAUAGAUGUUUCUUAGGAUUUUGUCUGAGUCCUCUUUUCUUCUCCCUCUAUACUUCUUUACCUGAUAAAAGAUCACUUUUCAUGGAUUAAUUUCUAUAUCUAUGCUGAUGAGUUUCAAAUCUACUCAUCCUGCCUAAAUCUCUACUGACCUCUAGUCUUCUCUCAUCUCUAGCUGUAUUUUAGACAUCUCAAAAUGGUUGUCAAGUAAACAUCUUAAAUUCAGUAUGUUCCAAACAGAACUCAUUAUCUUUUUCCUACUUUUACCUUUUCUAUAAUUAUGGAGAGCAAUGCUAUUCUCCAAGUACCUCAGGCUCACAGCCCAGGUGUCAUCCUUAAUUCCUCACUCGUUCUCACAUACACUCAUCCAAUUGGUUGCCAGAGCUUGUCAAUUUCACCUUCAGAACAAUCUCUUGAAUACACCAUCUCUCUCUUCUUCUUCUUCACUCAGAAGCAGACCCUCAUCACCUCACACCUGGAUUAUUGCAAUAACCUGCAGGUGGGUCUUCCUGCCUUAAACCUCUCUUUGCUCCAGUAUAUUCUUCAUUCAGCCAGUAAAAUGAAUUUUCCUAAAAUGCAGGUCUGAUAAAAAAAGUCCAAUGAAUUCCUAUUACCUCCAAGAACAAUUUUUUUUUAAAAAAAUGCUCUAUUUUACAUUCAAAGCCCUUCAUAGCCUGCCCCUCCUAUUUUUUUUUCAGUCUUUUAAUACCCUACUCCCAACAUGAACUCAUUGAUCUAGCAAUAUUAUAUUUCAUCUUUCAGUUUCAGGUAUUUUCUCUUGCCAUCUGGAAUAAUUCUUCCUCCUCUAUUCCAAUACUAUAGUUCCCCUCCCCCCCUGGAAAUGACCUCUAAGAAGGCUUAUUAUUCUAAAUUCAUGGAUUCUAAAUUCUAAAUGGAUAGUAAUCUUUCCUGGAUAAAUUAAUAAUAGUGGCAAUAUCUCCCAAUUUCUGGAGAUCUAAGGAAUCAGUUCACAAAGUCCAUAAAGCUAAAUACAAAGAAAGCAUCCACAAUCCAGGGUUGUUAUGUUUUAGUUAACCUGUUCACCAUGAUUUUGUAUAUACUCAUGUUGUGCAAUUGUUCGAAUGUCAGUGUGCUUUGACUGUGUCAGUUCUGAAAUAUAGAAUAUUAAGGGUUAAUAGCAGAGAACAAAAGAAAACUUAGAAGGAAGCACAGAAAAGUAGGGUAGCUUUGAAAAUGAUGAUUAGUAUUUAUUAUAUAGUUUUUUUAAGUAAAUGGUUUGAAAUAGAAAUUUAUGAUUUUAUAUUGAAUUCUCUUAUGUUAUACUAAAUACAUGGAAAUGUGCCUCUCUGUGUGUCUUUUUGUAUUUAAGUUCAAAAUAAAUAAGUUUUUAAAAAAAGAGUAUAUGACUCAGUAAUGGACUGAUUUCAAGCACUGGUGCCAUCAGCUGUGGGAAGUAGAUCAAGUUGUUUCAACUAUUAACAUCAGUUUCCUCAUCUAUCGAAAGGGGGUAAUGAAUCAUGCCCACUACCUUCUGAGGACUGUAUUGUGGAUCCAAAGUAGC